UGCUCGAGUGGCGAACGGGUGAGUAACACGUGAGUAACCUGCCCUUGACUUUGGGAUAACUUCAGGAAACUGGGGCUAAUACCGGACAGGAGCUCCUGCUGCAUGGUGGGGGUUGGAAAGUUUCGGCGGUUGGGGAUGGACUCGCGGCUUAUCAGCUUGUUGGUGGGGUAGUGGCUUACCAAGGCUUUGACGGGUAGCCGGCCUGAGAGGGUGACCGGCCACAUUGGGACUGAGAUACGGCCCAG
Molecule: ribosomal RNA, 245 nt
Filed under: uncultured Actinomycetales bacterium
Lineage: Bacteria; Bacillati; Actinomycetota; Actinomycetes; Actinomycetales
Description: partial 16S ribosomal RNA
Rfam family: Bacterial small subunit ribosomal RNA
Source: RNAcentral